This 340-nucleotide unclassified non-coding RNA is filed under the name soil metagenome. RNAcentral describes it as "partial contains 5.8S ribosomal RNA, internal transcribed spacer 2, and large subunit ribosomal RNA". The stretch from base 1 to 120 matches the Rfam family "5.8S ribosomal RNA", at positions 35 to 154 of the family's 154-position model. The record is from RNAcentral.
GAUGAAGAACGUAGCGAAAUGCGAUAAGUAAUGUGAAUUGCAGAGUUCAGUGAAUCAUCGAAUCUUUGAACGCACAUUGCGCCCGUCAGUAUUCUGACGGGCAUGCCUGUCCGAGCGUCAUUUCAACCCUCAAGCACUGCUUGGCGUCGGCGGAUUGCGUGCCCUCGCGGCGCUGCAACCGCCCAAAUACAGUGGCGGUCCCGCUGCGGCUCCCUUUGCGUAGUAACUCACCUCGCACUGGACCGGGCGGCGGCCUGCCGUAAAACCCCAACUCACGAAAUGUUGACCUCGGAUCAGGUAGGAAUACCCGCUGAACUUAAGCAUAUCAAUAAGCGGAGGA